UCAAUUCACGGUGGAUUUUAUUUGGUCAUCAUCAUCACAUUUGGAGCUGAAAUAAAACAGUUCUGAUUCCAAGUGAAGGGGAGGGAGGUAGAGUGGAGGGGGUAGGGAGGGCUAGCUUGGAUUUCUGCUAAGAUGUCACAGCCUCGGAUACCCUCAAGGCAUGCCAUGCCCGGGCUUAGCCGGGUGAGGGGCCUGUGAAGCCUGAUGGUGUGUAAGAGACCUCGGUGGCCUCACUGUCAGCAUAGCCGAGGCCACCACGCUGGCUCCAGACUGGUCAGCAGAUGGCCGCGCACCAGGCCCUUCCUGAGGCCCGGGCGACUCGGCUCUCAGUGGCGGAAGUGGCCGGCCCCGGACAGACUCCUGAAGAGCGCUGCCUGCAGUCUCAGGAAACGGGGCGUGGGGCCAGCUGUUCCUUCCAACUCCUCCUCGGGGGCAGCAUGAGGGAGGGUCGCUGUCAGGGCCUCGAGGACUGAGGGUUCAGGGUGCCCGCCGCUCGUCCUCUCUCCCCUCCCCCCCAGGUCGUGGAGGCCGGUCCCCAGAAUCUCUCCAGCGUCCCCACUGUCGUGGCUCCGGGGCGGGCUUCUCCCUUUUCAGGCAUUUCUGAAAUCGCCGCCUCACCCGGGCUCUCUUCCUCCGGCUCGCCCUCCCCAGCCCCAGGUGCCAGAGAGACCUUUCCCCAAAACGCGAAACUGAUCCUUUCAGACGCCUCGCGUUCGCCCAACAGCACCUCUAGCCUCGGUCGUUGUCACGUGACGCGGCCCUAGCGCCCAGGCCACGCCCCCGGAGCUCGCCACGCCUACCGGGUCCGCCCCCACGCGCCCGCCUACCCAGGGGGUUCCCGCCACCCGCGCUUUCCCAGGUUUGCCGACCUUACGGGCCCUUUUCCGCCAGCCCUGGCUGGGUCACCCCCACGACCCGGGACUCCCCCGCCGUUCCCGCCAGGGCUGCCUUCAGUGAGGUCGGCUCCUCAGGCCUCAGCCUCGCUGGGGGCAGGGCCCACUCCCGCCGUCGCCGCAGCUCCUUUCCGUCCCGGGGCCUGGGGGGCACCGUCCCACGGGUGAGGGCCGCCUCCAGCGCCCAGCCCAGCCAUGCGAACGCCUGGAGCCCGCGAGCUGCAGCUGCGGCCUUGAAGGUGCCGCACGUCCUGCCGACUGGGUGAAGCUUGGCACUUUGGAAAACAAAGCGGGUGAUCCGCCCGCCUCAGCCUCCCAAAGUGCUGGGAUUACAGGCAUGAACCACGGUGCCCGGCCGACACAAGGAACUUUCUAUGAGGUCCUAGGAAUGAAGGAAAACGGGCAAUAAGGCAAGAAUCGCUGUCGAAGGAGUCUGCGCCACCUGCUCGCACAGCUCACUUGUGCCUUCUGAGCCUGCUCGAGCCCAGUGUACAUAUGCCGUCUCCACGUGAUUAGAGAUUGCUGCUGCACGUGCCCAAUCCCGUGGCGGGGCUGGAACACAAACAGGAUAGUGUUCCAGCUGCAACCAUGCAGAUGAAGACUAUACCCUAGGAGACAGAGGAACAACAGACAAGAAAGAAACCUGGGUUCCUGAAUAACCGCGUGGAGCCGAGCAGCUUACUUAUCUCAAACCACUGCUGCCCACCUCCAGAUUGAACUGUCUGCAAACAAAUCUUUACUUGAUGAGAAGUUUAAAUAUAAUUAAAUCUAGACUAUUACA
This is a long non-coding RNA of Symphalangus syndactylus (siamang), 1674 nucleotides long. RefSeq lists it as uncharacterized. NCBI's taxonomy places the organism in Eukaryota, Metazoa, Chordata, Mammalia, Primates, Hylobatidae. The record is from RefSeq and is a predicted model, not a curated record.